This 166-nucleotide ribosomal RNA is filed under the name Paenibacillus soyae. RNAcentral's name for it is "partial 23S ribosomal RNA". It matches the Rfam family "Bacterial large subunit ribosomal RNA", at positions 2752 to 2925 of the family's 2925-position model. Lineage: Bacteria; Bacillati; Bacillota; Bacilli; Caryophanales; Paenibacillaceae. The record is from RNAcentral.
AGUACGGACGGGAUAAGCGCUGAAAGCAUCUAAGCGUGAAGCCCCCCUCAAGAUGAGAUUUCCCAAUUAGUAAGACCCCUUGAAGACGACGAGGUUGAUAGGUUCGGGGUGGAAGCACGGCAACGUGUGGAGCUGACGAAUACUAAUCGGUCGAGGGCUUAUCCUA